This 497-nucleotide ribosomal RNA is filed under the name uncultured bacterium. RNAcentral describes it as "partial 16S ribosomal RNA". It matches the Rfam family "Bacterial small subunit ribosomal RNA", at positions 28 to 507 of the family's 1533-position model. The record is from RNAcentral.
GACGAACGCUGGCGGCGUGCCUAAUACAUGCAAGUUGAGCGCUGAAGGUUGGUACUUGUACCAACUGGAUGAGCAGCGAACGGGUGAGUAACGCGUGGGGAAUCUGCCUUUGAGCGGGGGACAACAUUUGGAAACGAAUGCUAAUACCGCAUAAAAACUUUAAACACAAGUUUUAAGUUUGAAAGAUGCAAUUGCAUCACUCAAAGAUGAUCCCGCGUUGUAUUAGCUAGUUGGUGAGGUAAAGGCUCACCAAGGCGAUGAUACAUAGCCGACCUGAGAGGGUGAUCGGCCACAUUGGGACUGAGACACGGCCCAACCUCCUACGGGAGGCAGCAGUAGGGAAUCUUCGGCAAUGGACGAAAGUCUGACCGAGCAACGCCGCGUGAAUGAAGAAGGGUUUCGGAUCGUAAAACUCUGUUGGUAGAGAAGAACGUUGGUGAGAGUGGAAAGCUCAUCAAGUGACGGUAACUACCCAGAAAGGGACGGCUAACUACGUG